AAAGACAAAUUAGUUGGACACCUUUAUUAACCAUUUCUAGUCCCUAGUGAUUUCAGGCUUUUUCCCAAAUUCAAAGACUAUCUUCAUAAAAAAGAAUUUUUAAGUGUAGAUGAAAGUGAUGAAGAUGUGAUAUAUACAAUAUAUACUGUUAACAAAUGGUUUUCAGAAGUUGGACAACCUUUCUUGUGGAGAGCAAUUGAAAUGUUAGAGUAUCAUUGGAAAAAUGUACUACAACUAAAAGGAGGUUACAUUGGAAAAUAAAUUAUUUGUUGCUAUAAAGAAAAAUGGAACAUAAUUCAGAACUCAAAAACAAAUUCAUUGUCUGUCGCAAUGUGGGGCACCAAAACACUUUCUGAAUAAAGUGUGUAUGGAAAAUUAUGCAACCAAACAAAAGAUACAACUAAAAACGCACUGUCUCCAAACAAAAUAUUAACAGUAAGUAUUAUUAUAAAUUUUAUAAAAUUGUUGAUUAUUUUAUUAAAAAAUUAAUAUUUAAUAAUGUAUAUAUGUGCAUUUUUGACAUAUUUAUGAUUUUACAGCUGUUUUGAUCUCUUAUCAAAUUAGCUUUGAUAAUCUAAUCAAUAUUGAGUUAUUUUGUUUUCUCUGUGGAAAGCAGUGUUUGUUUUGCUUCAGAAAAAGUUUUACAAUAUGUUUUUCAUUGCAUUUUUUAAAGUUUAUCUAAUUUUUUCCUCUAAUUUUGAUAGAAGUUUUAUAUGCAGUUGUAACAAAACACUCAAUGCUGCAAAUGCACUUCCUUAAAAUUAUUUCAUCUUUCUUGAUACUGGGCUAGAAGUUCUGAAAAUGUUUCAAGAUAAAAUACCAAUCCUGAAUGUCUUUUACGAAAAUGAUGUGAACAGCAAGGAAUGUCUUUCAAAAGAAGAAAAAUUAAUGCGAAAGAAAGUGAAAAAAUAGCAAACAUUAAGAGAAAAGGCUUUAAACAGAAAAAAUAAAUUUAAUACUGUACUUUGAUUAUAAAUAAAUAGUCUUA
This is a long non-coding RNA of Centruroides sculpturatus (bark scorpion), 988 nucleotides long. RefSeq lists it as uncharacterized. The record is from RefSeq and is a predicted model, not a curated record. The transcript is spliced from 3 exons. Lineage: Eukaryota; Metazoa; Arthropoda; Arachnida; Scorpiones; Buthidae.